This 225-nucleotide non-coding RNA is filed under the name Anaerobacillus alkalilacustris. Its description in RNAcentral is "T-box sequence". It matches the Rfam family "T-box leader". Rfam says of the family: Uncharged tRNA acts as the effector for transcription antitermination of genes in the T-box leader family. T-boxes are found upstream of many aminoacyl-tRNA synthetase genes and some amino acid biosynthetic genes usually in Gram-positive bacteria. Lineage: Bacteria; Bacillati; Bacillota; Bacilli; Caryophanales; Bacillaceae. The record is from RNAcentral.
UGAAAAACAGUGAUGAGGAGUAGUAGUGGAAACUCAUGUUACAGAGAAUUGACGGGUGGUGCAAGUCAAUCAUAGAGAUCCUCGAACUCGCCUAUUAGUUGCAAGAGUGAAUCUUAGUAGUUCUUGUCGUCAACCGCGUUAAGGUGUUAAAGAAGUGAGUGUAUCCAACACUAAUUUGGGUGGUACCGCGGGAAUAAUUAUGCUUAUUAACCUCUCGUCCCUAAC